GAACAAUGUGAAUGGGAGGAUGUGGAUCUUUUCCACCUCCUUCACAUAUAACCCCUCGGUGCUGGGUCCCAAAGCCCACGAGUUGCUGAAUGGCAGCUUGAGCCUGACCAUACACUUAGGAAUAAUACCUGCCUUUAAGGACUUCCUGUUGGCGCUGCGCCCAGCCGUGUAGCCAGGCAACAGUCUGAUGAGGAAGCUGUGGGAGGAGUGCAGGGAUACAGGUGGUCUGGAUUAGGGGCUUCCAUCCAAAGUGCCAGAGAAGGGGCUUGGCAUCGCACAGGGCUGGAGAACAUGACCACUGCCCACCUGUCUGCCUUCAAACUUCCUGAUCUAACUGCCACUUACCAAGCCUACCUGGCAGCCAAAGCCCUGUGGGUUGCCUAUCAGAACUUGAUGUCCUGCUCUGAGAGAGAGGGACCAUUCCUGGGAGGCACGUAUGCCAAUGCAUGGGAAGCCAGGCUUUCUCAGGUGAGUGGCCAAGAAGCCUUUCCCAGUCCCUGUCCAUUCCAGCUUUCUGUGAGCUUUAGACUAGCAGAGAGGCAGUGUGGCCUAAUGAAAGGAGCAUCAAAUUUAGAACAAAAGUGAUAUGGGCUCAAAUCUCAAUAUGGGAUUUCUCUGCGGCCUAGUCACUUACCUUUCCUGAGCUUCAGUUCUCUCCUAUGUAGAUUGAGUAUAAUAAUAUAUACGUGGUAGGUUGUUAUGAAAAUAAGAGAUCAUGCAUACAAAUGCUGGCUGGUGAUUAAUGCAUGUUAUGGGCUACAGCUUUUCUCCAGGUGGUGUGACGCUGCUGCUAAUAAUGGUGAUGACAUCAAAACUGCCAAGGGCCUUAGAAAUCUGCUGGUCCAGCACGAAGCAGGGAGAUCACCAAAAAGGGGAGGCAGAGCUGGAAGAGAACACAGCUGUCCUGCCAUCCAGGUGCUCCAUUAUGCCUGAAAGGUUAACUUCACCACCAAAGCCCAAGAAGAGGUUUUCUUCGCCAAAGAUGGGGAAGUGCUGACAACGUUUGACAUUAAAAACAUCUAUGUUCUCCCAGACCUGUCAGGACAGACAGCCAUUGUUGGACACUUUGACUUCAGAGCACCUUCUGGAAAAGAGCUUCUGUUGGAUGACAGCGCAAUUGUCUGGGCAGAAGGACCCUUAAAGAUUAGAGCUGAGAGAACCCUAAGAACCAAGACCACACAGCACCUCUCACAUCCCAAGCUCCAGGAGUAUUUGUCAUAUUGAACUCACUUAGGAUACUGGGUCAAAAAGGGGUGGAUUAUUGACUUACACAACUUUGAGGCUGUUCAGUAAAUAAAACCUUCCAAACUCCCUGGCUCCCAAAAUUAGGGACCUUGCUAAAGGCAAAGAUAACUAAUGAGCAAAUGGGAAAACAAAUUAGAUACAAUUGUCAAUUCAAGUUUACCCUGAGAUGGUCAACUCCAGAUACCUAGAGAUACUACUGAUUUAGCCUUGCAGACUUAUGUCAAGAAAUAGGCAAUCGAUGCUGAGCUUUUUUAAGCAGUGGAAAAUAACCCAUGGAAUCCCAUUAGUCCUUUCCCAGACCCCUAAGUAUCUAAGGUCACCAGAGGGAGAAAUUCUUUUUUUUUCUUUUUUUUUAAGAUGGAGUUUCCCUCUUGUUGCCCAGGCUGGAAUGCAAUGGCGUGAUCUCAGCUCACUGCAACCUCUGCCUCCCAGGUUCAAGUGAUUCUCCUGCCUCAGCCUCCAGAGUAGCUGGGAUUACAUGCACCCACUACCACGCCCAGCUAACUUUUUGUAUUUUUAGUAGAGACGGGGUUUCACCAUGUUGGCCAGGUCGGUCUCAAACUCCUGACCUCAGACGAUCCACCCGCCUCAGCCUCCCAAAGUGCUGGAAUUACAGGUGUGAGCCACCACGAUCAGCUGAGAAAUUCUAAUUUAAGUGCAGUUACAUCUCAACUAUCAUCAUGCCUCCUGCAGUUUCCUUUAACUUGUGUAGGCAGGGUUAAACACUCCCUUCACUGAGCAACAAUAGCAUUUUUCACAUACCUCUAUGAUAAGAGUAAGAAAAUGACUAUAACUGGUAUAAUAUGUUCUAUAAUACGUUCUAUCUCUUUUCUCCGUGAUUUCAAACUUGUUCCCACUGGUCUCACCUUAGUCAGGCAUAUGGUUUUUUAUUCCCAUGACUAUCACACCUCAAUGUCCAAAUCAUCCCACCCUGAGAGGAGGGAACAAAGUUGCUUAUGAACAAGGAAGCAGAAUAGAGUUCCAGGGAAGAAAUUAGCAUUGUCGCCCCACAGGCAAGGGGCUGACCCCACCUGUUGAGAUCUUCACUCAGUACUGUUUCAGGUAUCUCGCAGCCCAGGUACUUAUCUUCUCUCUUGCUUCUCCUUCCUCAGACCACAGAAUCCAUGCAUCAGACCUUUCUAAGGAAAUUCAUUCUGCAAGCAUGAUCUGAAUCUCAGUUGCUCCCAACUUGGAGUGAUUUUGCCUCUCAUGGGACAAUGACAAUGUAUGGAGACAGUUUUGGUUGUCACAACUUGAGGGAGUGCUGCUGGCAUCCAGUGGGGCAGGGGCCAAGGUUGCUGCUAAAUGCCCUAAGAUGCACAGGACAGUUCUCCAUAACAAAGAAUUAUCCAGCCCCUGUGUCAGUAGUGCUGAGGUUUAGACACCCUGGACUCAAGGAACCCUAGAGUGGUGCUGAGGCUUAGGUAGUGUUUGUAGUCUUUGUUUCUGAUUCACUGUGGAUGACCCAGUUCUGUUGGGGCUAGGGGAAAAUUAGUCCCUUAAAUAUAAACAAAGGGAUUUGAUGAGCCUAGAGUGAAAGACAGACUCUUCAGUUAACACUUCGGAAUAUGAUCCCAGCUCACUAGCACUUGUCAUGCACUCAUGAUUCUGGUCACUAUGAUAUGGACUUCACUUACAUUGUCUUAUUUAAUCCCAACACCACCUUCAAAGCACAUAUCAUUAUGGCCAGGCGUGGUGGCUCACGUCUGUGAUCUCAGCACUUUUGGAGGCCAAGACAGAUGGAUCAUUUGAGGUCAGGAGUUCGAGACCAGCCUGGCCAAUAUGGUGAAACCCUGUCUCUACUAAAAAUACAAAAAUUGGCCCGGCGGUAGUGGCACGCAUCUGUAAUCCCAGCUACUUGGGAGGCUGAGGCAGGAGAAUCGCUUGAACCCGGGAGGCGGAGGUUGCAGUGAGCCAAGAUUGUGCCACUGAACUCCAGCCUGGGUGACAGAGUGAGGUCCUGUCUCAAAAAAACAAACAAACAAAAAAUACAUAUUAUUACUACAACUUGAGUAUCCCUUAUCCGAAUUGCUUGGGACCAGAAGUGUUUUGGAUUUCAGAUUUUUUCAGAUUUUGAAAUAUUUGCAUAUGCAUAAGGAAAUAUCUUGGGGAUAGGAUCCAAGUCUAAAUAUGAAAUUCAUUUAUGUUUCAUAUACCACUUAUACACAUAGUCUGAAGGUAAUUUUUUACAAUAUUUUUAACUAUAUCAUGCAUGAAACAAAGUUUGUUUAUGUCAAGUCAGGUGUGGAAUUUUCCACUUGAGGCAUCAUGUUGGCACUCAAAAAGUUUUGGAUUUUGGAGCAUUCCAGAUUUCAGAUUUUCAAAUUAGGGAUGCCCCAUCUAUAUCUCCAUUUUAUUGAAGAGGAAUCUGAAGCUUAGAGAUGUUAAGCCCAAGGCACGCAAACCAUAAAGGGCAGAACCAGAAUUCCAACCAUCAAGAUGUCUUGUUUUCCCACCACACUCGAAAUCCGGAAGAGCUUAUUCUUACCUAUCACUGUUUCCCUAACACCCUGUACAGUACCUGAUAUACGGAACACAUUUUUAAUUAUCUGAGCAAGAAAUGGAGAAAGAGGAAAAUGAAAGAGAGUAGAAAAGGAAAACGUGAUAAAGAGGGGUUUAAUAAAGGAAGGAGUAAGAGAAAGAAAGAGAGAGAGGGACCUAGUAAGUGAAAACGAUGAGGCUUAUUCCUCCACGACCUGACUGCACAGAUGUCGCUCAAUUCCCCCUGCAGUCUCCCCAGCACUCUCUCCCCUCCACUCUCCCACCUCUUGUGUGUAGGUCCCUUCCUCUGUCUGCAACGAAAAACGUCCUGUGGAAACCAGGAAGUCAACCCUAUUUGAGAAGUCAAAAUGCUGCUACAAAAGCCUUCCCUGACCCAGAAGAGAAAUCGCAAUGUCACCAGGUAAGGAGGGAGGCUGGUUCUUGGUCAGAGGGUGGCCAGCCAUCAGCCAGAGUAGACUUCAGAUGAAAGCUGUGUCCACAUCAAGGAAAUUCCUUCAAUGGAAAAGUCCAGGGAAGUCGAGACCAAAAAGAAGAUGUCAAUGUGACCUUCCUAGAUGCUACAUUAAAGCCAUUUGAGGCUAUUAAAUUCAUUCUUUCUUUUAUCAACCAUGAGUUUGUUCAAAUCCUGUACUUAGUUUAACAUUUGCCAUAUGGUAGGCAUUUCAUAAAUGUUUAAAAAGAAUUACCCUAAUGACAUAAUCUUUAUUUUACUAAGAUGUCAUUCAUUCAACAGAUAUCAACUGGCACCAACCAUAUACAACCACUGUGCUGGGUGCAAGGGUACCAACAACAAAUAAGCCAUGGUCCUGGACCCACAGAGCUCAGGAUAUAUUAAAAGAGAAUGAUACUGGACCCCUACACCUAGCACAGCUCAUCUCUCAAUAAAGAAACUAGACUAUAAAGUGAAGUCAAUACUGUAAUAAAUAAAUAAAUAUUCAAGCAUCGAGCUGUGAAAGCACGUUGGAACAAUUAAUUCUAACAAAUAGGCAGGGAGACUUGGCAAUGCAAGGGGUGGCAUGUGACACAGGCCUUAAACAACAAGCAAGGUUUCAAAGGCAAUGAAGCAUAAUAAGGAUAUUCCAGGCCAAGGAGGAAGUUAUUAUAGUAAAGGCAUGAAAGCAAUAAGGAGCUGAGAGUGGUUUCAGCAUCAAUUGUGAUGCAAGAUAUAGGAAGCAGGUGGUCAGAUCAUAGAGGACUUUACCUGCUGGACUCUGGAGCAUGGACUCUAUUCUAUAGAAAAUGGGGAGGAGCCUCUGAACUACUUCAGUAUAAAAGCAAUGUGUAUUUCAGUGUGUGUCUUGGGGAAAUGAAUAGACAAAUAGACAAAGGAGGGAGAUUGGAGCAGGAAGACCAGGUUCAGAAUCCAGGUAAUUGUUGAAGCCACAGGUUUGGAUGAAGUCUCUUCAAAACUCUCCCUGGGAAAGUAGAGACUUUGGAAAUACCUUUUGCCCUUUUGAAGAGAAAGUUUCCACCGAAUGAAGCUGAGAAGGAACCACCAGGUGCUGAAGAGAGGAUGACACAAAUGAGAAAUCCUUGAACUUAGACACUAGGAAGACAUGGAAUCAAAGUAUCUAGGACCCUACAAAUAUAUCCAAAUCAAGGAAAGAGAUCAAAUUGUCCCUAUUUGCAGACGACAU
This 5384-nucleotide long non-coding RNA is filed under the name Homo sapiens (human). Its description in RNAcentral is "HSALNT0175432". The record is from RNAcentral. Lineage: Eukaryota; Metazoa; Chordata; Mammalia; Primates; Hominidae.